This 473-nucleotide ribosomal RNA is filed under the name uncultured bacterium. Its description in RNAcentral is "partial 16S ribosomal RNA". It matches the Rfam family "Bacterial small subunit ribosomal RNA", at positions 28 to 507 of the family's 1533-position model. The record is from RNAcentral.
GAUGAACGCUAGCGGCAGGCCUAAUACAUGCAAGUCGAACGGGUGGUCGCAAGACCACUAGUGGCGCACGGGUGCGUAACGCGUAACCAACCUGCCCCGAUCUGGGGGAUAGCCCGCCGAAAGGCGGAUUAAUACCGCAUAUACCCGCAGCCUGGCAUCAGGCAACGGGGAAAGAUUUAUUGGAUCGGGAUGGGGUUGCGUGACAUUAGCUAGUUGGCGGGGUAAGGGCCCACCACGGCGACGAUGUCUAGGGGACCUGAGAGGGUGAUCCCCCACACUGGCACUGAGAUCCGGGCCAGACUCCUACGGGAGGCAGCAGUAGGGACUAUUGGGCAAUGGGCGAGAGCCUGACCCAGCCAUGCCGCGUGCCGGAUGAAGGCCUUCUGGGUUGUAAACGGCUUUUCUCAGGGAAGAAAAAGACCUUGCGAGGUACACUGACGGUACCUGAGGAAUAAGCACCGGCUAACUCCGUG